This 829-nucleotide long non-coding RNA is filed under the name Homo sapiens (human). RNAcentral's name for it is "long non-coding RNA NONHSAT194421.1". The record is from RNAcentral. Lineage: Eukaryota; Metazoa; Chordata; Mammalia; Primates; Hominidae.
GACUUCGGGCCCUCUGUGAGCCUCUGUCCGCCAAGGCGAUGGAGCUGUGUUUGGAGUCCCUCGUCUUUGGCAGCGGCUGGGGCCAAAGCCCGGGCAAGACCAACGCCUUCGGCACCCGGACUCAGGCUCCGUCCUCUCUGCCAGCGUGCGGCUACAAUGACUCGACAUGGCAGGUGGGCAAGCACAGCACGCCCCAACAGACAUGCUUUAUUUAAUAUGUACUAAAAAUACAGCAGGCCUGUGAAACCCACAGGUGCAAUUGCUUAAAAUGAGGCUAAGGUAGACGUGUGAAUGGUUAAUAAUGAGUUGAUUAAAAUAUUCAGAAAUCAUCUACUGGAGACGGGCAAACUGCAAAAUGGUAGCAUGGGAGCAACUGAUGUUCGAGAAAGCCCAGGCUCCGGCAAGCCGUGGGUUUGAAUUUACACAUGCGCACAUAAUGGGUAUGAAUAAACCUUUCUUCAAAAAAACACCCCAAGGUCCGCAAACCUGACAACUUCGGAGGCCACUGCCUUCAGAGAAGGUGACAGAGGGCCAUGUCUGAAACAUUCUCCCACAACCAGGAACCCUCAGCAGCCGCUGAAGAGGAAAGGCAGUUAAAUGGAAAGACUUCUGAGCAAGUGGAGGAAAAGUCACGUGUGACCUAGGGAGGGGCUCCCACAGGAAGGGGCAAUGCCCUUGCCCUGUUCACCUAGCCUCCAGGUGGCUUCCCACUUGAAAUUUCAGAGGAUGGCAGAAACCUACUUACAAGGAAAUGAAAGAGGGCACAGCAACCUUAAGACCAGAGCAGCCCACGAUAUUUUUUAAUGAGGGCAAAAAUAGAAGACUUGCA